RNAcentral lists this ribosomal RNA (381 nucleotides) under uncultured bacterium. RNAcentral describes it as "bacterial SSU rRNA". It matches the Rfam family "Bacterial small subunit ribosomal RNA", at positions 29 to 407 of the family's 1533-position model. The record is from RNAcentral.
AGUGAACGCUGGCGGCAGGCCUAAUACAUGCAAGUCGAACGGCAGCACAGCAGAGCUUGCUCUGUGGGUGGCGAGUGGCGGACGGGUGAGGAAUACAUGGGAAUCUGCCCAGUCGUGGGGGAUAACGUAUGGAAACGUACGCUAAUACCGCAUGCGCCCUACGGGGAAAGUCGGGACCGCAAGGCCUGACACGAUUGGAUGAGCCCAUGUUCGAUUAGCUAGUUGGCGGGGUAAAGGCCCACCAAGGCGACGAUCGAUAGCUGGUCUGAGAGGAUGAUCAGCCACGCUGGAACUGAGACACGGUCCAGACUCCUACGGGAGGCAGCAGUAGGGAAUAUUGGACAAUGGGGCGAACCCUGAUCCAGCCAUGCCGCGUGAGUG